UCUAUCAUCCAUGAUCGUUGUUAUUCUAACUCGUGAGGGUGCUGGGUGUCCGACUAGGUGAUCGGUAGGACACCGAAGAGAUCAUUUGACCCUUAGUUCUUCAUGACGGUCCUGAUGAGUCAUCAGCUUGACAUCGAAGAUGAUGUCAGGGUCGGCAGUAGUCUUAAAAGAUCAGUGGGCUGAGGUCAUCGCAAUGUUAUUGGAUCGGCGGUCAUGUGCCGAUGUCCACGAUGUUGUGGUUGAUCGGAAGAGAGGAUGAGCUUC
This 264-nucleotide long non-coding RNA is filed under the name Elaeis guineensis (African oil palm). Its description in RNAcentral is "long non-coding RNA (EGUI_LNC070962)". Lineage: Eukaryota; Viridiplantae; Streptophyta; Magnoliopsida; Arecales; Arecaceae. The record is from RNAcentral.